GGAACUGUCAAGCUAGAGUGCAGGAGAGGAAGGUAGAAUUCCCGGUGUAGCGGUGAAAUGCGUAGAGAUCGGGAGGAAUACCAGUGGCGAAGGCGGCUUUCUGGACUGACACUGACACUGAGGUGCGAAAGCGUGGGUAGCAAACAGGAUUAGAUACCCUGGUAGUCCACGCCGUAAACGAUGUCGACCAGCCGUUGGGUGCCUAGCGCACUUUGUGGCGAAGUUAACGCGAUAAGUCGACCGCCUGGGGAGUACGGCCGCAAGGUUAAAACUCAAAUGAAUUGACGGGGGCCCGCACAAGCGGUGGAGCAUGUGGUUUAAUUCGAUGCAACGCGAAGAACCUUACCUACUCUUGACAUCCUGCGAACUUGUGAGAGAUCACUUGGUGCCUUCGGGAACGCAGAGACAGGUGCUGCAUGGCUGUCGUCAGCUCGUGUUGUGAAAUGUUGGGUUAAGUCCCGUAACGAGCGCAACCCUUGUCCUUAUUUGCCAGCGCGUAAUGGCGGGAACUCUAAGGAGACUGCCGGUGACAAACCGGAGGAAGGUGGGGACGACGUCAAGUCAUCAUGGCCCUUACGAGUAGGGCUACACACGUGCUACAAUGGCCGGUACAAAGGGUUGCGAGCUCGCGAGAGUCAGCUAAUCCCGAAAAGCCGGUCUCAGUCCGGAUCGGAGUCUGCAACUCGACUCCGUGAAGUCGGAAU
This 704-nucleotide ribosomal RNA is filed under the name Vreelandella venusta. RNAcentral's name for it is "bacterial SSU rRNA". It matches the Rfam family "Bacterial small subunit ribosomal RNA", at positions 629 to 1332 of the family's 1533-position model. The record is from RNAcentral. Lineage: Bacteria; Pseudomonadati; Pseudomonadota; Gammaproteobacteria; Oceanospirillales; Halomonadaceae.